GACAAGGUGGCUGAGUGCUUAAGGUGAUGGACUGCGAAUCCAUUGUGCUCUGCACGUGUGGGUUUGAAUCCCGUCCUCCUUGUCG
This 85-nucleotide transfer RNA is filed under the name Albula glossodonta (roundjaw bonefish). RNAcentral describes it as "tRNA-OTHER". It matches the Rfam family "tRNA". From Rfam's summary of the family: Transfer RNA (tRNA) molecules are approximately 80 nucleotides in length. Their secondary structure includes four short double-helical elements and three loops (D, anti-codon, and T loops). Lineage: Eukaryota; Metazoa; Chordata; Actinopteri; Albuliformes; Albulidae. The record is from RNAcentral.